GAGAAAGCUUGCUUUUUCUACAAUCUAGUGGCAAACGGGUGAGUAACGCGUAAACAACCUGCCCUACGGAUGGGGACAACAGCUGGAAACGGCUGCUAAUACCGAAUACGUUCCGAAAGUCGCAUGACUAUCGGAAGAAAGGAUGGCCUCUAUUUAUAAGCUAUCGCCGGAGGAGGGGUUUGCGUCUGAUUAGCUAGUUGGAGGGGUAACGGCCCACCAAGGCGACGAUCAGUAGCCGGUCUGAGAGGAUGAACGGCCACAUUGGAACUGAGACACGGUCCAGACUCCUACGGGAGGCAGCGGUGGGGAAUCUUCCGCAAUGGGCGAAAGCCUGACGGAGCAACGCCGCGUGAGUGAAGACGGCCUUCGGGUUGUAAAGCUCUGUUAUACGGGACGAAUAGUCUUGUGGUUAAUACCCAUGAGAAGUGACGUACC
Molecule: ribosomal RNA, 435 nt
Filed under: Megasphaera micronuciformis
Lineage: Bacteria; Bacillati; Bacillota; Negativicutes; Veillonellales; Veillonellaceae
Description: bacterial SSU rRNA
Rfam family: Bacterial small subunit ribosomal RNA
Source: RNAcentral